RNAcentral lists this long non-coding RNA (1288 nucleotides) under Strigops habroptila (Kakapo). RNAcentral's name for it is "lncRNA (ENSSHBG00005000888.1)". Lineage: Eukaryota; Metazoa; Chordata; Aves; Psittaciformes; Psittacidae. The record is from RNAcentral.
GGUGACCUCCAGCGUGAUCCGCAGGCAGUGACUUGGGGAUUCCUGCUGCAGCUCUUGUCAGUCAGGUUUCCCAUUGCAGAAACCCAUAUGAGUUGCUCUUGUUCAUUUAUGUAUCUUGUCAAAGCCGUUGUGUUUUGAAUUCAAAGAAAUCUGUGCUAGGUUCUUCAGUGUGCUCUCCAGUGGUGCCGCUGGUUGCCAAACAGAGUACGUGAGGUGGUGGUCAAUGGUGCCAGGUUUGCUAAAUUGUGUCUACGCAAAACACCAGUUUUAGACUUCAGUAACAAAGACUGUAACUGACUGGCAUAUGCUAGGCUGACCUUGAGCCUCUAAACUUUACAGGUGAAGCCACAGUUAGCAUGGGAGAGAAGUUGAGCUUACAUUUUGUGCACCUUUGCUUGACUGAAAAUGCUGAAUAAAGGGGAAAAUACUGUGCAGCAGCCUGCGAAAUAUGCAAGUGGCCAUGAGUACAGCCAGCUGACGAACAUCUAAGCACAGUAAUAAACAUAUACUCAUUUGGGAGACUAGAAUCACUACUUGUGUGUUAACUGAUGUAUUUCAGAAGGUUGUUUUAAGAACUAUGUUGUCUUCAACAGUUAAACUCCUAGUCUCCUUAAACUGCUUCCUGGAGAAGCAGUUUAAUGAUUUGUUACCUCUUCUAUCUGUCUUUUCUUUCCUACCUGGACAGACAUGAGAACAAUUGAGAAAGCCCAGUACUGAGCUAGAAACUGGCAUUGUAUGCUUGUUUCACUGCAUUUAGGUUUGGCUACACUAGUGUUAGACAGCAAGGCUGCUUGCAAACCACCUGCAGUUCAGCAUUUGUCAUGAAGACAGCCCUUGCUUUCAUUCAAAACUUCAUUACAGUUCAAGAAGAUGUAAUGUGUUUGGCUCUUUGGCAGAUCAAUGUCAUUGCCCAUUAUAAUCUCCUCGAAGGACAAGUGAAACGUUCAGUUGUCCUUAUGUUAUAUUUUUUGAUAUCAUACAGCAUUACCAAGUUUUCUUAAUGUGCGGAUGGAAAGGAAAGAGCUGUUAUAUGGUGGUUUCCUUGAGUGUUGGGAUUAGAUUGGAGUUGCCACAGUCCACACUGAGUCAAGCUGAUGAUGCAAAGACGGCUUUCCCUCAAACGUUUUAACAAACUCCUAAUUUAGAAAAGGCCGAGUAAGGUCUUAUCCCUUCUCAGCCAGUGAGGAUCUUGUUUCUCCUGUGUGCAGGACUCCGGUCAUGCAGGAAGCUGAAUUUAAGAGCAUGCUUCUGUCUGAGGAGUGUUUAAUGACUGAAAUUCCCAGCUAUA